CUACGGGGCGCUGCAGUGAGGAAUAUUGCACAAUGGGGGGAACCCUGAUGCAGCAACGCCGCGUGGAGGAUGACGCAUUUCGGUGUGUAAACUCCUUUUAUAUGUCAAGAAAAUGACGGUAGCAUAUGAAUAAGCACCGGCUAACUCCGUGCCAGCAGCCGCGGUAAUACGGAGGGUGCAAGCAUUACUCGGAAUCACUGGGCGUAAAGGACGCGUAGGCGGGUUGGAAAGUCAGGUGUGAAAUCCUACAGCUUAACUGUAGAACUGCACUUGAAACUUCUAAUCUAGAGUAUGGGAGGGGGAGAUGGAAUUAGUGGUGUAGGGGUAAGAUCCGUAGAUAUCACUAGGAAUACCUAAAGCGAAGGCGAUCUCCUGGAACAUUACUGACGCUAAGGCGUGAAAGCGUGGGGAGCAAACAGGGUUAGAUACCCCCGUAGUC
Molecule: ribosomal RNA, 439 nt
Filed under: uncultured bacterium
Lineage: Bacteria
Description: partial 16S ribosomal RNA
Rfam family: Bacterial small subunit ribosomal RNA
Source: RNAcentral